UACUAUAAAAAUUUUUUUAAUUCUUAGAGGGAGUAAUCAAAAGUUGAAAUUUAAAAAACUUGGCAGUAUUUUACUUCUAUUAGAGGAACUUGUUUAUUAAAUGAUAAUCCACGAUAAAUUUGACUUAAAUUCAUUAGUUUGUAUACCGUUGUCAUAAAUAUAUCUCUAAAAAGCUUAAAUAUAUAAAAGGGCGAGAAGACCCUAUAUGUCAAAUAAAGGUGCAGCUUAUAUUUAAGCUUAUUAUGAGUUACAAUUAAUUUAUUAAUACAGAAUUCUUGAAAAGUUUUGUGACGGCGGAUUUAACAGUAAAUUUUAAUAUAUAUUAAAACUGAAUAAAAAUUAAAAUGUGUACAUAUCGCCCGUCGCUAUUAAUUUAAUAA
This 380-nucleotide ribosomal RNA is filed under the name Peromyia fungicola. RNAcentral's name for it is "partial 12S ribosomal RNA". Lineage: Eukaryota; Metazoa; Arthropoda; Insecta; Diptera; Cecidomyiidae. The record is from RNAcentral.